UCGAGAAUUUUUCACAAUGGGCGCAAGCCUGAUGGAGCGACGCCGCGUGGGGGAUGAAGGGUUUCGAUCCGUAAACCCCUGUCAUUUGCGAACAAACCUUGAUUGUGAAUAGCGAUCGAGCUGAUUGUAGCGGAAGAGGAAGGGACGGCUAACUCUGUGCCAGCAGCCGCGGUAAUACAGAGGUCCCAAGCGUUGUUCGGAUUCACUGGGCGUAAAGGGUGCGUAGGUGGUCGGUGAAGUUCGGUGUGAAAGCUCGGAGCUCAACUGCGAAACGGCAUUGAAAACUGAUCGGCUGGAGGGUCGGAGGGGAGACUGGAAUUCUCGGUGUAGCAGUGAAAUGCGUAGAUAUCGAGAGGAACACCAGUGGCGAAGGCGAGUCUCUGGACGACUCCUGACACUGAGGCACGAAAGCCAGGGGAGCAAACAG
RNAcentral lists this ribosomal RNA (427 nucleotides) under uncultured bacterium. RNAcentral describes it as "bacterial SSU rRNA". It matches the Rfam family "Bacterial small subunit ribosomal RNA", at positions 355 to 775 of the family's 1533-position model. The record is from RNAcentral.